This is an RNA transcript of Amaranthus tricolor (Joseph's coat), 3942 nucleotides long. RefSeq lists it as uncharacterized. The record is from RefSeq and is a predicted model, not a curated record. The transcript has 9 exons. NCBI's taxonomy places the organism in Eukaryota, Viridiplantae, Streptophyta, Magnoliopsida, Caryophyllales, Amaranthaceae.
UCUUGAUAAAAUAUGCUAAUUAUUGGGAGCAAAGUCGAAAUUCGAAACUGAUUCACAUUCAUCCCUACUACCCCAAUCGCCAAUUUUAACUCUACCGGGCAGCUUCCCCCUCGCUGCGCCCAACAACCCACUGCCUAAACCAAAAUAUUCAGUGAAGCCGGCUGCCAGUCAAGACAAACUCCGUCCUUCACUUGAGUCGGAUUUGUCAAUAUCUCUCGCUGCUCAGAUCAGUCGCGCUUCUUCAUCAAUCUCCAUAGCUAUCCCUCCGACGUCCUUCAAUCUCCAUAACUGUCUAGAAAGUAGAAAGCUCGAAUCUCCACUUUUUCCCAAAGAAGAAGAAACACAAUCCUUGUUUCACCACUUGAGCAUUAAACCUAAAUUGCCGGGAUUUUUUUUUUUUUUUUUUUUUUUUUUUUUUUUCCAAUAGCUGCUUGAGUUUUAGGGCGGACACUGUUCAGAAUUUGAUAAGCCGGGUAGUAGAAUCUGAUAGAAAUUGACGGCUUUCGUUACUGAAUGAGCCAACUUUGAAUGAGCCAACUUGUGCUUGUUAAGAGGCAUUGAAGACUUCGUUUUUUUGAGUAGUUUGCUGAAACAGUUGACGAUUUGCAAAUUUUUGUAAUGGCUGAGAAAACUAUUGCAAAUUCAAGAUGCAUAUACAUACAUGAGACUGGAAAAUGGCCUUCACAUACAGUUGAUAUUCACCACAUUGUUUAUCAAAAAAAGCGUCGAUGGCAUAUACUUGCGUGCUUCUCGGCUCUUGUUUUACUGCUGAAUACCUUUUAUUUACUACUAGGGCAGGAUAUACAAGUAUCAAUUCUUCUUUUGUACUUGAUAAUUGGUGUUGUACUUAUCAGAUUAUUGCGUCAAAGAGUUGUUGAGAAAGAGUCUGUAGUGAUCAUCCCAGGGUUCGGAGUCCAAAUUGAAACUCUCUAUAAAAGUGGGACAGCUAUUCGUCAUUUUCUCCCUAUUGACAAGAUUUUGAAGCCCAUACUGAAUGAAUGUGUGACGCCAGUUACAUGUUAUUGGAGCUUGGCAUUAUUGUUGCGUGAAGAAGGUGAAUUGAAGCUAAUUUUUAAGGAAUUGCGACCCCCACUUAAGAUGUUGCUACCAGUUUGGAAAGCACUUUGUGCAGCUACAGAUUCCAGUGGAGACUUAGCUGUAUCAUCAAAUUCUCCACCAAAUUUUUUGUAAGCUUGCACUUCUUUCUUAAGAAAAGGAACCCUUAGCUCAUGCAUGCUAGGUGGUUUCAAUCUCGGGCCAUAUUGUGAUUCAAGUUGAGGAAGCUGGUGAGCACAAUGUGAUUCAAGUUGUGACGGAUAAUGCAUCUAAUUAUGUCAAGUCCGGAAAAUUACUUGAGGUCAAAAGACCCCAUCUUUAUUGGACUCUUUGAGCGGCACAUUGCAAUGAUCUAAUGUCGGAAGAUAUUGGAAAAAUCCCCCAUGUAAAGAAUACACUUAAGAAGUGUAUCUACAUUAAUGGUUAUAUAUAUAACAAUAUUCAACUUGUGAUCUUGAUGAGAAAGUUCACAAAUCAAAGAAAUUUGCAUAUACCGGUGGUUACUAGAUUUGCAUCUUCUUUAACAAAAGGGAAAUAUGAGGAAGAAGGUUAUUUCUGCUGAGUGGAAUCAAUCCAAGCUGCUAAAGAAUAUGGGGGAAAAAAGAUAGCAGCUUCCAUUUUGCUACCCAAUUUUUGGAGGAAUGUUCUUUAUGCUCUUAAGUUGGCUAGGCCACUUGUAAAAGUUCUUAGGAUGGUUAUGAAGCCAUGGAUAGGGCUAAGGAGACUUUUUCGAUGACUGAGGAGCAUUACAAGGAGGCUUUUAGUUAUAUUGACAAUAGAUGGAAUUGUCAACUUCACCAUCCUUUGCAUGCGGCUGGUUAUUUUCUAAACCCGUCCAUUUAUUUUGAUAACAAAGAGGUGGCAUGUUGUGAAAAAGUAAGGGAUGGUUUGAUUACAUGCAUGGGAUGGUUUGAUUACAUGCAUGGAAAGGUUGAUUAGAGAAGUGAAAAUUCAAGACAAGAUUCUACUUAAUUUGCGAAAAUACAAAAAUGUUGAGGGUAGCUUUGGAUCACAAACAACCAUUAGACAAAGAAAAAUAAGUCCUCUAGCUAUUAAAAUCAGUUAGUAGCGUAUUUUAUCCUUAUUUUGAUUUUCAUUUGUUUUAAAACAUAAAAUCACAAUGCUUUGAUUUGUAAUAGUUGAUUGGUGGUCUACUUUUGGCGCUUCAACUCCUAAUCACCAAAAAUUUGCUGUGAGGGUUCUUAGUCUCACUUGUAGUGCUACCGGUUGUGAAAGAAAUUGGGGUGUCUUUCAACGUCUUCAUACAAAGAAGAGAAACCGAUGGGCUCAAAGUCAGUUAAAUGAUUUGGUCUACGUGAAAUAUAAUCGUGCUUUGAGACGUCGUUUCAUAAAAAAAGACUCUUCUGAUCCCAUUAUUUUGGUGGAUAUAGAUGAAAGCAAUGAGUGGUUGCUUGGGAGGAUGGAAGAUUCUGAUCAUAAAAUAGAAUUUGUGUUUGGUGAUGAUGAUUUUUAGUGAUAUUGUGCGAGACUAUGAGCCCUAUGUUUUUCUUAGUAGACGUUUUUAUGAUCUUGUGUCCAAAACCUGCUAAUACAUAUCUUCUAUUUACUAAUUCAUUGAUAAAUCUUGGCAAGCAGCCUUAGACCUGGCAAAUAGUUCAAGUGGGUUUGGUUCAGAUUAAGAUUACUUUUGGUUGGGUCGGGUUUCAUUUGAGUUAUGUCAUUUUGGGUUUAAUGGUCAAUUUUAGUUGUUUUGAGUCGGUUCAUCAUUUUAAUUAUGUGCAUAAUAUAGGAGUAAUAAAUAUGUGUAAAUUUUAACUCAGUACAAAAUUAAAUGGGACAAAAACAAUAAACUCAAUAAAACAAAAAUUUAUAAAUGAGUAUAAUUGUUUAUUGGUAUAAUUUUGGUCGGAUCAAGUUUGGAUUUGUCUUAUUUAUUCGGGUGCAGACGAGUUAUUUCAAGUAUGUUUCGUUAAUUUUCUCGAUCAGCUUUAACCUAUAAACUAUUUUAUUAUCUAUUGCAUGCUGAUGCAUCGUCAUACAGUGUUUAACAGGAAGCAUUUGGAGCUGAGCAGAGUUGUUGUUCCACAUGAUUCCGGAACCCACAACGAUCAAGUAACUAAAAACUAAGAGUUGCCAUCGUGUAGGCGGAAGAAACUGAGGCAAACCAUGAAUCCAUAAUCCUUGAACUAAGCCAAUUGUCAAGAUAUGAAUAGUAUUCAGAGGAAAGUUUAGACCAACUCUAAACUUCAACUUUUUCUCUUCCAUUUGGUCUCCUCCAACUAGAUAAAUAUUCACAAUUUCAAAAAUCUAAAUCAAACCAAUGCAACAGAUAAUUAGGUAGGUGCAGGAAUUUGGUGAUCUUUUUUCCUUUGUUUCAGUUGGAAUUUUGUAAUUGUUACUCUUUGUAAUUGAUAUUAAUUAAAUUGGUUUUUCUAUUUGUCGAUUUUUAUUUCUGGUCGUAAGUGUGCCAAUUUUACUAGGAUCCCAAGGUUGUUUUGCGGUGUUUUUUUGUUCAAUGUUUUACGCUGGUACCAUUGAAUAAUUGUUAAUACAGUUUAUAAUAUUUUCGUUACCUUUAGGGGGUGAUUGAUAUUGAAUAAUCCUCCAAUUUUAGUGAAGAAAAGAAGCAGAUUCUUAUUCAACUCCUUCCGUCAAAAAAACAAUACAACAAUUGUUUUUCUAGUGAAGAAGAGAUCAACGUCAGCCCAAAUGGCCUGUAACGAAGCUGAAGUGCAAGACAGGCAAAGUACAUUGCCCGACUCACUUCUUUGCCACAUCCAUUCUUUCCUCCCUACGAAAGAAGCUGCCCAAACUGUUCUAAUUUGAAGAUUUGGCACACUCUGGACUUGGCUUCCUGUUCUUGAUUUGGAUGAGACAAUUUGGUAUAAGCCGCAAGGACUAUGUGCAGAAAGUGAAAAGGUAAAA